RNAcentral lists this ribosomal RNA (253 nucleotides) under uncultured bacterium. RNAcentral describes it as "partial 16S ribosomal RNA". It matches the Rfam family "Bacterial small subunit ribosomal RNA", at positions 524 to 776 of the family's 1533-position model. The record is from RNAcentral.
UACGGAGGGGGCUAGCGUUAUUCGGAAUUAUUGGGCGUAAAGGGCGCGUAGGCGGCCCGGUAAGUCAAAGGUGAAAUCCCUCGGCUCAACUGAGGAACUGCCUUUGAAACUGUCGGGCUUGAGGCCGGGAGGGGGUAGCGGAAUUCCCAGUGUAGCGGUGAAAUGCGUAGAUAUUGGGAGGAACACCGGUGGCGAAGGCGGCUACCUGGACCGGUUCUGACGCUGAUGCGCGAAAGCGUGGGGAGCAAACAGG